This is a long non-coding RNA of Rana temporaria (common frog), 481 nucleotides long. RefSeq lists it as uncharacterized. The transcript has 3 exons. The record is from RefSeq and is a predicted model, not a curated record. Lineage: Eukaryota; Metazoa; Chordata; Amphibia; Anura; Ranidae.
CUCCCCUCUGCACUCAUACGUUUCCUUCCUUUUUUCCUUUUUCUCCAGAGUGCGGCUCCGCUGAUUGGCCGGUGUCAUCAUAUGACACGGCUGCUUCAGCGCUAAGGAGUGUGGGAAUUGUAGGCAUCUCAGCGACCAUGUGACCUCUGAGAUCCAAUCGCGAUGCACCCGCCUCCCCAACAGGCUAUAUAUAGCAUGAUAUGAUCAUUAUCUGUCUGCUACCAACAGGGUACUGACAGAUGUCUUUAUUCCUCUUAAAGAUAGGAGAUUAUCUGUGGACUUUUCAGCUGCAAUUGACUGGUCCUUGAUUUUUGCUGCAAACGACUAUCCUUUGACUUUCUAUCACCAGCUGAUGUUUGCUUGCAUUUAGACUGUUCAUCUAGUUAAAUACUCCAUAUGAAUUGAGGCUCUUCAGUGCCCAUGUUAUUGUCUUACUUAAUUCCCCUGUAUUCACCUUGAUUUUAUUACGCUUCAAGGCAUG